AGGUGGUGCAUGGCUGUCGUCAGCUCGUGCCGUAAGAUGUUGGGUUAAGUCCCGCAACGAGCGNAUCGCUAGUAAUCGCCGGUCAGCCAUACGACGGUGAAUUCGUUCC
RNAcentral lists this non-coding RNA (109 nucleotides) under Nicotiana sylvestris (wood tobacco). Its description in RNAcentral is "Bacterial small subunit ribosomal RNA". It matches the Rfam family "Bacterial small subunit ribosomal RNA", at positions 1036 to 1146 of the family's 1533-position model. Lineage: Eukaryota; Viridiplantae; Streptophyta; Magnoliopsida; Solanales; Solanaceae. The record is from Rfam by way of RNAcentral.